This 253-nucleotide unclassified non-coding RNA is filed under the name plant metagenome. Its description in RNAcentral is "partial contains small subunit ribosomal RNA, internal transcribed spacer 1, and 5.8S ribosomal RNA". The stretch from base 205 to 253 matches the Rfam family "5.8S ribosomal RNA", at positions 1 to 49 of the family's 154-position model. The record is from RNAcentral.
UUUCCGUAGGUGAACCUGCGGAAGGAUCAUUAUUGGAUUUUGAAACUUCAGGCUGCUGCUGGCUCUCCUCGGAGGGCAUGUGCACGCUUGUUGUCCAUUAUUUCUCCCACUGUGCACAAAUUGUAGACCUUUCAGUAGGCCUAUGUUGUUUUUCACAAUCUCUGAAUGUAAUAGAAUGGUUUUGAAUCUUGGGAAAUACAAUACAACUUUCAGCAACGGAUCUCUUGGCUCUCGCAUCGAUGAAGAACGCAGG